UACGUAGGGGGCAAGCGUUGUCCGGAAUCAUUGGGCGUAAAGAGCGUGUAGGCGGUCCGGUAAGUCGGUUGUGAAAGUCCAGGGCUCAACCCUGGGAUGCCGACCGAUACUGUCGGACUAGAGUUCGGAAGAGGCGAGUGGAAUUCCCGGUGUAGCGGUGAAAUGCGCAGAUAUCGGGAGGAACACCUAUGGCGAAGGCAGCUCGCUGGGACGUUACUGACGCUGAGGAGCGAAAGCGUGGGGAGCAAACAGG
Molecule: ribosomal RNA, 253 nt
Filed under: uncultured bacterium
Lineage: Bacteria
Description: partial 16S ribosomal RNA
Rfam family: Bacterial small subunit ribosomal RNA
Source: RNAcentral